CAGGAGGAGAGGGGCCCAGGGAGAGCACUGUGGGGCACCGCACGAGUGAGCGGCUUCUGCCAGGCUCGUUGGAGGGACGUGCGCGGCACGUUCCGUGGAAAGAUGAGGUGAAAAGAGUUGAGCAGGCAGAGGCCGCUCUGCUGGGACAACUAGCCAUGAGGAGGACACUUGCUCCUUGUCUGGAUCUUAGGUUCUUCCUUGAGGAUUCUAACGGGAACCCGAGGAGGGAGCGGAGAGGGGAGAGGAUGUUGAGUGGAUAACUCACUAUUAUUAUUAUUAUUAUUAUUACUGCACAGCGGAAGGGGUUCAUUCGCUGGAUUGGAAUAAAAGGUUGCACUAUUUGGCCCUUCAGACACAAACCCCUGGACUUGAGGGGGCCUGAAGUUUUAUAUAUACACAUAUAUACUACGUGUAUAUUUACAUAUAUGUAUAUAGAAUAUAUAUAUAAUUUAUAUAUAUUAUAAAAUAAUAUAUAUUAUUUAUAUACAUUUUUUUUUCUAGCACACAGUGCCUGCCAAGCCCUGACCGGGUACAGAGAAGGUAAGACAAAUAGGAUGUGCCCUGGCACUGAGCACCCAAGGGCGGGUCCCCCCACCAGCCCCCCAGGCUUUGGCCAUCCCUUUGUCACACGUGGCAGAGACCGAACAAGGGUGCAAAAUAAGGGCUUGUAGAAGAAAAGGGAUCUGUUGGUGAGCAGACCCCACUCAGAAGAGAGGGAGAGAGUGGCUGGCACGACACGGGGUCAGCAAUCCGGGGAGUCCCAACCCACUUCCUACCCUAGGAAACUUGGGGCUCUGGAACCAACCCACCUGACCCUUCUCCCUCAGCACUGGCUCAGGCCCAGAAAUAAAUUCACAGUGAGCCUCAUGGGGGCUCAAGACCCCUUUGACCAAAAGAGGGCUCUCUGCCUGGCCUGGGCCAUGACAAACCAGCACUCCCUCCUUAGAGUCAAGGUCAGAGCUUCUGUUAAAAAGGACCAUGCGACCUGGGAUAAAGCGGCUAAUAUUAUUAACUCACCACCUGUCCCUGGAUCCUCAUUGUUAAGGCAGCCGAGGGCAGGGGUCCUCAAAGCCAGUCUGUAGAACAAUCACUGAGGCAGUCUGAAAAAUGCCAACUUCCAGGCCCUGCCUCCACUCUGGAAUCUGAGCGUCGUCCCAGCAGAUCCUAAUCCUGAUUCAGAUGUUCCAAACACAGCCCUUUCAGGAAACAGGGGUAUAGUGGGAAGAGCACCUGGCUUAGAGUGCUGGGUUUUAAGGUUUAGGUUCAAAACCCGAGUUGUUGACCUAAGGCAAGUAAGCUGGAGUUUUCUACCUUGUAAAAUGCAGAUUAUGCUCUCUCGCAGGUUGGUGGGAGGAUUAAGGCACCAGGCGUAGCACACCCCAGUGCUCACGAACUGCGACCUGAGCAUGAGAGCAUCGGGCCAGCGAGCCUCCGGAAACCGGAGAAGUCAGUUCUGAAGAGCACCGGAGAGAGAAGAGAGGGCAAAGAGGCCCAGAAAUGACGCCCCCAGCGUCAGUCCACGGGUCCUGCAGGAGGAGGGGAGAGGGGUACCGAAAAAGGGCAAGAGGCCGCCCAGAGCUUCCCACUGACGUUCCGCCUCCCCAGCGCCAGCCUGUGGUAGGCGGUAGCUCCUGGCCUAACACUGCCAAUCCGUUAUUUUCACAGAGAAGAGUCCAUACGGACACAAGAAACCUUUGCAUCCACACCUACGUACAUAAAUACCACAGUUCUGCACGCACAGAAAAAGAUAAAAGGUGGGAGAAGUAGAGACAAGAGGACAAAGAAGGCAAAGUGGGACUGGAAAGUCCAACCCAGUUGCAUUUUCAAGUCACCCGGUGCUGGUCGCAGGCUGGCACUGUGCUACGCAGCCCGGAAAGGUGGAGGGAAGAGAAGCCUCAGGGUGCCUGGGACAGGUGGCUGGCCCGCUAGAUCGUGUCCAGGCUGAACACACGGUCUGUGCAAAGGCGGCAGGGGAGCGGGGCACCUGGGUGGCUCAGUCGGUUGAGCAUCCAACUUCGGCUCCUGAGUUCAAGCCCCCUAUCCGGCUAGCUGCUGUCAGCCUGGCAGCACAGAGCCUGCUUCGGAUCCUCUGCCCCCCUCUCUCUGCCCCUUCCCCC
RNAcentral lists this long non-coding RNA (2117 nucleotides) under Lynx pardinus (Iberian lynx). The record is from RNAcentral. Lineage: Eukaryota; Metazoa; Chordata; Mammalia; Carnivora; Felidae.